AUGAACAUGAAGAUAUCUGCUAUAUUAUUGGGGCUUAUGAUGCUCUGGUUCACAAGUGCCAGAUGUGACAUUCAGGUUACCCAGUCUCCAUCCUCCCUGUCUGCAUCUCUGGGACACAGAGUCACCAUCACUUGUAGAGCAAGUGAAGAUAUUAAAAAUUAUAUGGUUUGGUACCAACAGAAACCAGGGAAAGUUCCAAAGCUCCUAAUCUACUAUGCAUCCACUUUGCAAUCAGGGGUUUCCUCCAGGUUCAGUGGCAGUGGGUCAGGGACAGAUUUUUCCUUUACUCUCAGCAGCCUGAAGCCUGAAGAUAUUGCAACUUAUUACUGCCAACAUGUUUAUUCCACAGCACACACAUGGAAAGUAGAAGACAAGUCUUAA
Non-coding RNA from Mastomys coucha (southern multimammate mouse), 381 nucleotides. Lineage: Eukaryota; Metazoa; Chordata; Mammalia; Rodentia; Muridae. The record is from the annotation of a RefSeq genome assembly.